This 696-nucleotide long non-coding RNA is filed under the name Rattus norvegicus (Norway rat). RNAcentral's name for it is "long non-coding RNA NONRATT009951". The record is from RNAcentral. Lineage: Eukaryota; Metazoa; Chordata; Mammalia; Rodentia; Muridae.
AAGUGGGCUUUGGUGCAGAGAGUCCGAGUGACACCCCACGUGGGCGGCGGCAAGCGCCGGUGGCGGCUGGAGAGGCGGUAGGAGCGGACGCCAGAGGCGGGAGCCUCGGCGUGAGGGCUCUCCCAUGUCGGCUGCUCGUGGCUAGAGCCGGAGGAGCUUGUUGCUAAGGGGUGAAAGAGAAGCUAUGCAGAAAUCAGAGUGCUCUGGAGGUGUGCAAUUGAGAAACAGAGCAACAGGUAGUAAUGAUCGCACAUCCUCAAGCACACAGGUGAAACACAGGACUGCAGUUCAGCGCAGCAAAUCCUCCUCCUUAACCAGUUCUCCAGAGGCUGCCAGACGGGCUCAUCCUCGGCCAAGCGAUAAACUCAACCCUAAAACCAUUAACCCUUUUGGUGAACAGCCACGGGCCCCUUCUGCAUUUGCAGCUAUUUACUCUCAAGGAGGCAUUCCUUGCAGGGUCUGAGGGAGACCAAGCAUCCUUAUACCUUUGUGUCAAAGGAAGGCUUUAGGGAGUUACUUCUGGUCAAGGAUGCUCCUGAAAAAGCUAUCCCUUUGCUACCUCGACUGAUCCCUGUGUUGAAGGCAGCUCUAGUUCACUCUGCUGAUGAAGUGUUUGAAAGAGGACUGAGCGCUCUCGUGCAACUGAGUGCGGUUGUUGGCCCGUCUCUGAAUGGCCAUCUGAAACUACUGCUUACA